This 1545-nucleotide long non-coding RNA is filed under the name Elaeis guineensis (African oil palm). Its description in RNAcentral is "long non-coding RNA (EGUI_LNC008461)". Lineage: Eukaryota; Viridiplantae; Streptophyta; Magnoliopsida; Arecales; Arecaceae. The record is from RNAcentral.
UUCUUUCUUUCUCUUUUUUUUUCUUCUUCUUCUUUCACGGGAGAGGGAACCCGUGUCCCUCUCUUCUUCUUUUUCUUUAAUGGAAUAAGAAAAUUCUUGUUCCCCAUUCCUUCUCUGGACUAAGGACCUCCCGUCGACCAUGGCUAUGGCCGACGAUAGCUGGGGCCUGGCGACACCACCAAAGCCCUUUUCCCAACGAACGACGACGGCCCAUGGUGACGGAGAAAGAAAGAACACAAAAACAGAGGAUUUGAUAAAUAAAAUUUUCAUAGAAUUUUUGGCAGCAAUCUAGGCUAAAGUUUGAGCUUAGGACCUAUAACGAACUAAGAAAAAGAUGCUUAGAAAGAUUUAGCUAAUCUUCAAUGGGAAUUGCUCUUAUUUGUGGCGGCCAAAAUAAGAUUAUCCACAGGAAAGAAUAGAAAGAAAAAAGGAUUAAAUGGUGAUUUUUUUUUGGAGAUUUUUCAGUGAGAAAACUAGAGGAAUUAGGGCUUUUAAAUAGAUUUCUUAGAGGAAAGAAUUAGUGUUUCAAUCAAAUUUCUUUUCCUAAGAUUUUUAAGAAAUCUAAUCAGAGAAGAACUCGGGAGUUCUUCCACCAGCUUCCCAUCUCUACACUGAUCCCAUCUUUCCUAUCACGUGCAGAGCACGUGCUGGCCCUUUUUUUUUGGCUUAUGCUUUAAGAUCUGUGUGAUAAUUGGAUCUGAUUUGGGGUAUCACAGAAUACCUCCCAGGUCUCAUUCAGAGAUAAACUCUUUCUAACUACUACAUAGGAGCACUAAUCAUCAUAGGGAUUGGAUGGAGUAUAUAACUCCUAUAUCAAAUAGAUCAUAUGUGCUCCUUGACUAAUUAAUUAGCUUGUUAUUACCACAUUGAACCUCCUCCAAAAGAUCUCCUAUCACAAAAGUUAGGUUUCCACUAUUAGAAAGUCCAUUAUAAGUAAAGCUCCAUCUCCCUCGAUGACUUUAGGAUCUUAGUCCUAUUCAAGCUUUUGUAAGGCAGACAUAUAUAAAAGAAUCUUCACCCCAAUAAUUUCUGAAAUAUAUCAGAACUUAUGGUAUUGACUAUAUCCUAUAAAUGUUCAGCCAUACCAUUAGAAUAAAAAAAAUAGAAGAUAUUCCUUUAUCACAUGAUGCUAUUCAUCAUUUCUUAAAUCAUGAGAUUUAACGAAUAAAUAAAAUGAAAGGUUUGUGAAAAGUAACAUAUGUAUUAAAACUAUGGCAUGUCCCUUUUAGAUGAACUAUGUGCAUCUUUUGUGUCAUCUGUCAAAACCUAGCUAAGAGUUAUGCAUAUAAAGAUAUGUUUGUUAUGAAAUAUCCAACUUUCAGUUGUCUUUAAAUCAUUUAAUCUUCUAAAAAUAUCCAGAUAAUUUUCUUCUCCAUGAAGCAAUCUAUGAUAGGAUAAUUUUCUUCUCCAUGAAGCAAUCUAUGAUAGCAAAUCUGGCACCUAUAUCAAGGUUCCCAAGACAACAUUUUUGUCCAAUUAUAUACAUAUUUGAGAUCAAGGAACAAGAAAAAUAAGAAAUAAUAACCAUUCAGGUAUUACAUAGUG